This 487-nucleotide ribosomal RNA is filed under the name Pleuroloba quoyi. Its description in RNAcentral is "partial 16S ribosomal RNA". It matches the Rfam family "Bacterial large subunit ribosomal RNA", at positions 1839 to 2624 of the family's 2925-position model. Lineage: Eukaryota; Metazoa; Mollusca; Gastropoda; Ellobiida; Ellobiidae. The record is from RNAcentral.
AGACGCCAGGAGAUAAGCCCUGCCCGGUGAAAAGUUUAACGGCCGCAGUACCCUGACUGUGCUAAGGUAGCGUAAUCAGUUGGCUUUUAAAUGGAGUCGAGAAUGAAUGGGUUAAUGGGGGGACGCUGUCUCAGGUUUUGUUAGUUAAAAUUUGCUUAAUAGGUGAAAAUCCCUAUAAUGACAAAAAAGACGAGAAGACCCUUAGAAUCUAAACAAGUUCACGGCAUAUCCGUGCUGCGUUUUUGUUGGGGCGACAACGGGGCAAAGAAAAGGCGGCCACUGGCGGCCGCCACUUUCCGAACCCCCGAUAAACAAAAGUACAAGACGAUUUUAUUAAGCGAGAUAAGAUUACCUGAGGGAUAACAGCAUAAUUUUCUUAAAGUUUGUGACCUCGAUGUUGGACUAGGGACCUGACGACUAGCCGUCGCCAUGGCAGGAUCUGUUCGAUCUUUUCACCCCUACAUGAUCUGUUUCUUAAAAAACGGGA